Molecule: ribosomal RNA, 847 nt
Filed under: Teratosphaeria nubilosa
Lineage: Eukaryota; Fungi; Ascomycota; Dothideomycetes; Mycosphaerellales; Teratosphaeriaceae
Description: eukaryotic LSU rRNA
Rfam family: Eukaryotic large subunit ribosomal RNA
Source: RNAcentral
GAAAAGAAACCAACAGGGAUUGCCCCAGUAACGGCGAGUGAAGCGGCAACAGCUCAAAUUUGAAAUCUGGCGCAAGCCCGAGUUGUAAUUUGCAGAGGAUGCUUCAGGGCAGCGACCGGUCUAAGUUCCUUGGAACAGGACGUCGUAGAGGGUGAGAAUCCCGUAUGCGACCGGUUGGCACCCGUCACGUAGCUCCUUCGACGAGUCGAGUUGUUUGGGAAUGCAGCUCUAAAUGGGAGGUAAAUUUCUUCUAAAGCUAAAUACCGGCCAGAGACCGAUAGCGCACAAGUAGAGUGAUCGAAAGAUGAAAAGCACUUUGGAAAGAGAGUUAAAAAGCACGUGAAAUUGUUGAAAGGGAAGCGCAUGCAACCAGACUUGUCGGCGGUGUUCCGCCGGUCUUCUGACCGGUCCACUCGCCGCCGGCAGGCCAGCAUCAUCUGGGCGCGCCGGACAAAGGCGCGGGGAAUGUAGCUCCUCGGAGUGUUAUAGCCCCGCGCACAAUACGGCGCCGCUCGGGUGAGGUCCGCGCUUCGGCUAGGAUGCUGGCGUAAUGGUUGUCUGCGGCCCGUCUUGAAACACGGACCAAGGAGUCUAACAUCUAUGCGAGUGUUCGGGUGUCAAACCCCUACGCGGAAUGAAAGUGAACGGAGGUGGGAAGCGCAAGCUGCACCAUCGACCGAUCCUGAUGUCUUCGGAUGGAUUUGAGUAAGAGCAUAGCUGUUGGGACCCGAAAGAUGGUGAACUAUGCCUGAAUAGGGUGAAGCCAGAGGAAACUCUGGUGGAGGCUCGCAGCGGUUCUGACGUGCAAAUCGAUCGUCAAAUUUGGGUAUAGGGGCGAAAGACUAAU